AGUGACUUGUCUAUCUUUCUUCUCUACCCUCCCGGGGGGCUGUGAGCUGGAGACUGGAGCCUCACCUCUUCCUGCCAGACGUGACGUGAACUGUCCUUUCUUGUGGUGAAGAGAAAUGAACGCGAUCUGAAUUCAAACUCAGGACCCUGGCACACCUUGGAGUGAGUAAGCAACCUGUUUCAGUCUCCUCAUGUCUAAGCAUGACCCGCCUGGAACAAUCCAUGGCAAAAGAGGGGCACCUAGCAAUCGCUCGCUACUCAUGGAAACUUCAGUUGACUUGCUGGAAAGACAGUCUCUUUCUCUCAGGAUACUUUGUGCAGCACCAGUAAAUGUCUGAGGAAUGAAUAAGAGAGCGUGUGCAUGCUCUGAAGUCUGGACAACCACCUAUUUUCAGUUUGAAAACAUAACAGAGUUCUCGGGACUUGAAAUGUUUACCUUAGACUUGCCAGAAGCUUCUCUCUUGCCUGUUGACCGUGCAUCUCCAUUGUGUCCCGGAUGCCAAUGCUGUUGUCAGGUUUCUGUCCCUGGGAAACAAAGGUCCUGAAUCGCCCAUAUGACUUGUCAAAGAGUCCCAGACCAGCGCGCGGUCAGAUGCGCCGUGACUUGUGGUGGCAAACGAAGCUCUGUUCUAGACACACCAUUACCUCAGCGCUAUCAGGAGGAGGCCACGGAAUGACUGGCGCGGGAGCGC
This 691-nucleotide long non-coding RNA is filed under the name Felis catus (domestic cat). Its description in RNAcentral is "lncRNA (ENSFCAG00000046654.2)". The record is from RNAcentral. Lineage: Eukaryota; Metazoa; Chordata; Mammalia; Carnivora; Felidae.